UGCAAGUCGAACGGAAACGAUGGUAGCUUGCUACCAGGCGUCGAGUGGCGGACGGGUGCGUAACGCGUAGGAAUCUACCCAAUAGAGGGGGAUAACUCGAGGAAACUCGAGCUAAUACCGCAUAAUCCCUACGGGGGAAAGAGGGCCGCUCCUUGGAAGCUCUCACUAAUGGAUGAGCCUGCGUCGGAUUAGCUAGUUGGUAGGGUAAAGGCCUACCAAGGCGAUGAUCCGUAGCUGGUCUGAGAGGACGAUCAGCCACACUGGGACUGAGACACGGCCCAGACUCCUACGGGAGGCAGCAGUGGGGAAUAUUGGACAAUGGGCGCAAGCCUGAUCCAGCAAUACCGCGUGUGUGAAGAAGGCCUGAGGGUUGUAAAGCACUUUCAAUUGUGAAGAAAAGCCUGGGGUUAAUAGCCUCGAGUCUUGACGUUAACUUUAGAAGAAGCACCGGCUAACUCUGUGCCAGCAGCCGCGGUAAUACAGAGGGUGCGAGCGUUAAUCGGAAUUACUGGGCGUAAAGCGUGCGUAGGCGGUCUAUCAAGUUGGGUGUGAAAGCCCGGGGCUCAAACCCGGAACUGCACUCAAAACUGUCUAGCUAGAGUACGAUAGAGGGGGGUAGAAUUUCAGGUGUAGCGGUGAAAUGCGUAGAGAUCUGAAGGAAUACCAGUGGCGAAGGCGGCCCCCUGGAUUGAUACUGACACUGAGGUGCGAAAGCGUGGGUAGCAAACAGGAUUAGAUACCCUGGUAGUCCAUGCCGUAAACGAUGUCAACUAGCCGUUGGAAGACUUUGACCGUUUAGUGGGGCAGCAAACUCAAUAAGUUGACCGCCUGGGGAGUACGGCCGCAAGGUUAAAACUCAAAUGAAUUGACGGGGGCCCGCACAAGCGGUGGAGCAUGUGGUUUAAUUCGAUGCAACGCGAAGAACCUUACCUACCCUUGACAUCCAGAGAAUCUGUUAGAGAUAGUAGAGUGCCUUCGGGAAUUCUGUGACAGGUGCUGCAUGGCUGUCGUCAGCUCGUGUCGUGAGAUGUUGGGUUAAGUCCCGUAACGAGCGCAACCCUUAUCCUUAGUUGCUAGCAGGUAAUGCUGAGAACUCUAGGGAGACUGCCGGCGAUCAACCGGAGGAAGGUGGUGACGACGUCAAGUCAUCAUGGCCCUUAUGGGUAGGGCUACACACGUGCUACAAUGGUCGGUACAGAGGGCUGCAAAACCGCGAGGUGGAGCAAAUCCCAGAAAACUGUUCGUAGUCCGGAUCGGAGUCUGCAACUCGACUCCGUGAAGUCGGAAUCGCUAGUAAUCGCGAAUCAGCAUGUCGCGGUGAAUACGUUCCCGGGCCUUGUACACACCGCCCGUCACACCAUGGGAGUGGGUUGCAAAAGAAGUGGGUAGACUAACCUUCGGGACGUCGCUCACCACUUU
RNAcentral lists this ribosomal RNA (1419 nucleotides) under uncultured prokaryote. RNAcentral describes it as "partial 16S ribosomal RNA". It matches the Rfam family "Bacterial small subunit ribosomal RNA". The record is from RNAcentral.